GCAGUCUCUCAAGUGGCUGGGAAUGAAUCAGCAGUGCUAGUGAGUGAGCCUGUCAUGACGAGCCCUUGCUUUGAGUAAGUUCAGAUGAUUUGUUCUUUCUUUCCUUAUUGACGCACAGGGGAGUGCAUCAACUAACAUAUGCUGCUCCAGGAAAUAUCAUAGGGACUGUAUAUAACUAAGAUCUGCCCUAGUAGCUACUUUGCUACUGAAUGCAGCGGCACAGAACUACCCCUGGCUUUUUCUCCAGACACAGACAGAUCAUUAAUAAAGGUGAGUCCAUUGUAGACUUGAAGAUUUCAUCCACCUCUCCCUCAUGCUCCAACUCUAGACUCUCAUCUGACACUCUUACAACGUCACAUGAGACAGUGACACAACACUACCUAAUGCUCACAACAUGGUGCGCGAUCCCACCCGUCCUAUAGGCCAACAUCUGCCAUGCAUGUGUGCAUCUCCCCUGCAUCACAGGAGGACAUGUGUGGCGCCCUUGGCCUCUUCGGGGUCUGACUUCUCUGGUUUGAGGAAGACGUGCAGUCUCAAAUAGAAUUAUAUAGCUCCAGGUAGCAAAUUCAUUUUAGGCUGUUCUAACCCAAGCUCUCACAUCACAAAGGAACGGAAAAAGCUCUUCUAGUGAUAUAGGUAUUUGGUCACUUCUGCUCCAGGCAACAUCUUUGGUCAGAAUGAAAGGAGGACAUCAGACCUGGCUUGGAAAGCAUCUCCUGGAUGGGUGACGAGGAAUACACAGAUCCUAAUAGAGACCAGGGCUGUCGAGAGAACAAAGAAUGCGUUUUCCACAGGAAAGAAUCUCCAAUUUACCCUCAGCAUCCUCAUAAAUAGAAAUUACAAGGAAAUACAUCAAGGAAAGAAUUAAUCAGAUUGAAAGGCAUUGUAGUAAUUAGAAGAAAAAGAGUGGCAUCUUCUCAGGCUCCCCCGGGUGGUGGUAAUUACCAGCUACGCAACUGUGACUUGUGCAAUGUAAAGUGUUCUGGAUUAAAAAGCUAAAUAUCUUUUUGUUUCCUUUCUUAGAGAAGCCAUUCUUGGAAUCAAGCAGCUGCACAGGCUGGGA
This 1063-nucleotide long non-coding RNA is filed under the name Struthio camelus australis. RNAcentral describes it as "lncRNA (ENSSCUG00000008309.1)". Lineage: Eukaryota; Metazoa; Chordata; Aves; Struthioniformes; Struthionidae. The record is from RNAcentral.